GAUGUUGCCCUCAAACUGCUCCGCCUGGUCCAGGGCGCGUGGGAAGCCGUCGAUGAGGAAGAACUUGCCGCCACUCUCAAUCAUGGCCUUUUUCAGCAGGUUCAGCGUCACGGCGAAAGGCACCAGCUUGCCUUCGCGCAUCAGCUCCUCGCACUUCUUGCCCACGACGCUGCCGCUCUUGACCUCGGCACGAAGCAGAUCACCAGCGCUGAGGUGUACGCAUUUAUAGUCCUGCUUGAUCUUGUCGCACUGCGUGCCCUUGCCGCUACCCGGCCCACCAAGCACAAAGAUAAUUUGAGCAUCCUCCGGCAAGCUGCCCUUCACAGGCGGUAGGACAAUUUCCUGCAAUUACCAAAGCACAUGACGCAUUCAUUCUAUGUCUGACUGUAGCAUUGCGCAAAAGCGAAACCGAGAAGCACAUCACUCAGUUCCCCUGUUUGCGGGGUAUGUGCAUUUGGCGCGGACACGGAAAGAUUAUGAAAGCUGUGUUCCGUAUCACUGUCACCAAAGCAUGACCUGCGCCAUUGCACGCACUGCUGUCACAUGUCACCAUCCAAAUAAAAAUGAGGCAUUAGGCCCAGUGCUCAAUUCCAGCAUGAACCCUAACACGUUGGACAAUGGCAGAGUGUGGCGACGCAUAGAUAUGGUAUGUACUGCACGCAUGGACGUGGGGUUUCUCGACAUUCGGGCCCAUUCUCUUGCCAAUGAUACGGCACCACGGGGUGUGGCAGAGCCGUAAUUGCCAGUCGCCUGGCAUACGUGAUGUAUGCCAGACCAGGCCAUGGCAGGAGGGAUCAUCGCAUUGGACCCCACAUGACACGAACUGAUAAGUCACUUACAUCAGAUUUUCUUGGUGCGGAAAUGCCGUCCAGCACUUUCUUCACAACUUCGAAAACCUCCCCUGGUGGCGGAACGGCGCUGAUGAUGUGGCACUUGCCCUGAGCCAGGUAAUGGUCCUUGACAGGAAGCGACUGCUCCAGGAAUGUAUGGAAGCGCUUGCGGAUAGUCUCAGCGUUGUCAUCGCUACGGCCGCUGGUCUCACCGCGCUUCAGCAGCCGCUUCUCCAUCUCCUCCUCAGGGCAGUCAAAGAACAGCACGGCCUUGCAUGGCAUGAUGUUGCCCUCAAACUGCUCCGCCUGGUCCAGGGCGCGUGGGAAGCCGUCGAUGAGGAAGAACUUGCCGCCACUCUCAAUCAUGGCCUUCUUCAGCAGGUUCAGCGUCACAGCGAAAGGCACCAGCUUGCCUUCGCGCAUCAGCUCCUCGCACUUCCUGCCCACGACGCUGCCGCUCUUGACCUCGGCACGAAGCAAAUCACCAGCGCUGAGGUGCACGCAUUCGUACUCCUCAAGGAUUUGCGCACACUGCGUGCCUUUGCCGCUGCCUGGCCCACCAAGCACGAAGAUGAUUUGAGCAUCAUCCGGCAGGCUGCCAUGUACUGGGGGCAGCGCGAAGUCCUGUUGACCCAUGGGACAGUCACGCACGAAUGAACAGUGCGCAUUCAUGGCGUUGCAAACAAUCACGACAGUAGUGGACUAGCCCAUGGCAUUGCCUCUCCGUGGCAAGCAGCCCGACAGCAUGUAAAACAUGACCAUAUCCUUCCCUAGCACAGAUUACGAGAGGAUGUCGAUGCCGCGUCAACCCGACGCAAACAAAUUUCGGCCACAGUACUCCGAGAAGCCGGCUGUAGGUCAUGGGUUUGAAAACUUUUGCAAAUACCGUUACGCUAAUGCUUUAUGCUUUACUCGCCGGUGCCAGGCGCUAGCAUGCCCGAAGACUCUUCUACCGGCUUGUUGCCGAGAAUGUAUCGGCAUGGCAGACAGGGUAUUGCAUCUAAUUUAUCAAAGGCUUCCGAUAGUAGGGCAUGGGAGAAAACUACAAGAACCUGUAGUUGUCCCCUCUGAGACUGGUCCUGAGCUCCCUAGCACAUUAGGUAGUCCACCCAAACAAUACUUUGGAGCGAGGGCUUUGCAGCCAUAGAGGAAACGCGAAGGAAACGUACAAGUACACGUCAAGUGGCGCAAAACCCCAAACAGGUCAGCCUGCCUUCAACCAUGCCCAAUGGAAAGCCGUCGUCUACAACAGUAGUAAUAACCUCAAUCGAGUGCCUCUCCAUUAACAGCUCACCUCCGAAGGAACUGCUGCUCUUGGGGAAUCUGCUUUCGCGGCUUGCUUCUUUGGCGCAUCGAGUUUGUCCAAAAUAUUCGUCACGCUUUCGUACACCACGUCGGGGUGUGGAACAGCGCUGACAACGUGGCACUUGCCCUGAGCCAGGUAAUGGUCCUUCACAGGAAGCGACUGCUCCAGAAACGUCUUGAAGCGCUUGCGGAUAGUCUCAGCGUUGUCAUCGCUACGGCCGCUGGUCUCACCGCGCUUCAGCAGCCGCUUCUCCAUCUCCUCCUCAGGGCAGUCAAAGAACAGCACGGCCUUGCAUGGCAUGAUGUUGCUCUCAAACUGCUCCGCCUGGUCCAGGGCGCGUGGGAAGCCGUCGAUGAGGAAGAACUUGCCGCCGCUCUCAAUCAUGGCCUUCUUCAGCAGGUUCAGCGUCACGGCGAAAGGCACCAGCUUGCCUUCGCGCAUCAGCUCCUCACAUUUGCUGCCCACGGCACUACCGCUCUUGACCUCGGCGCGCAGCAAG
RNAcentral lists this long non-coding RNA (2635 nucleotides) under Volvox carteri. Its description in RNAcentral is "long non-coding RNA (VCAR_LNC002502)". Lineage: Eukaryota; Viridiplantae; Chlorophyta; Chlorophyceae; Chlamydomonadales; Volvocaceae. The record is from RNAcentral.